This 730-nucleotide ribosomal RNA is filed under the name Bacillus thuringiensis. RNAcentral describes it as "bacterial SSU rRNA". It matches the Rfam family "Bacterial small subunit ribosomal RNA", at positions 56 to 767 of the family's 1533-position model. Lineage: Bacteria; Bacillati; Bacillota; Bacilli; Caryophanales; Bacillaceae. The record is from RNAcentral.
UGCAGUCGAGCGAAUGGAUUGAGAGCUUGCUCUCAAGAAGUUAGCGGCGGACGGGUGAGUAACACGUGGGUAACCUGCCCAUAAGACUGGGAUAACUCCGGGAAACCGGGGCUAAUACCGGAUAACAUUUUGAACUGCAUGGUUCGAAAUUGAAAGGCGGCUUCGGCUGUCACUUAUGGAUGGACCCGCGUCGCAUUAGCUAGUUGGUGAGGUAACGGCUCACCAAGGCAACGAUGCGUAGCCGACCUGAGAGGGUGAUCGGCCACACUGGGACUGAGACACGGCCCAGACUCCUACGGGAGGCAGCAGUAGGGAAUCUUCCGCAAUGGACGAAAGUCUGACGGAGCAACGCCGCGUGAGUGAUGAAGGCUUUCGGGUCGUAAAACUCUGUUGUUAGGGAAGAACAAGUGCUAGUUGAAUAAGCUGGCACCUUGACGGUACCUAACCAGAAAGCCACGGCUAACUACGUGCCAGCAGCCGCGGUAAUACGUAGGUGGCAAGCGUUAUCCGGAAUUAUUGGGCGUAAAGCGCGCGCAGGUGGUUUCUUAAGUCUGAUGUGAAAGCCCACGGCUCAACCGUGGAGGGUCAUUGGAAACUGGGAGACUUGAGUGCAGAAGAGGAAAGUGGAAUUCCAUGUGUAGCGGUGAAAUGCGUAGAGAUAUGGAGGAACACCAGUGGCGAAGGCGACUUUCUGGUCUGUAACUGACACUGAGGCGCGAAAGCGUGGGGA